GUGGGGAAUUUUGGACAAUGGGCGAAAGCCUGAUCCAGCAAUGCCGCGUGUGUGAAGAAGGCCUUCGGGUUGUAAAGCACUUUUGUCCGGAAAGAAAUCCUUUGGGUUAAUACCUCGGAGGGAUGACGGUACCGGAAGAAUAAGGACCGGCUAACUACGUGCCAGCAGCCGCGGUAAUACGUAGGGUCCGAGCGUUAAUCGGAAUUACUGGGCGUAAAGCGUGCGCAGGCGGUUUUGUAAGACAGAUGUGAAAUCCCCGGGCUUAACCUGGGAAUUGCAUUUGUGACUACAAGGCUAGAGUGUGUCAGAGGGGGGUAGAAUUCCACGUGUAGCAGUGAAAUGCGUAGAGAUGUGGAGGAAUACCGAUGGCGAAGGCAGCCCCCUGGGAUAACACUGACGCUCAUGCACGAAAGCGUGGGGAGCAAACAGGAUUAGAAACCCCUGUAGUCC
RNAcentral lists this ribosomal RNA (450 nucleotides) under uncultured bacterium. Its description in RNAcentral is "partial 16S ribosomal RNA". It matches the Rfam family "Bacterial small subunit ribosomal RNA", at positions 354 to 796 of the family's 1533-position model. The record is from RNAcentral.